UUUAAGUUUCAGCAUGCAGAUCCAUUUUCUGCCACCGAAUACAUUAGCAUGGGAUAAUGGAAUAGGACCCUGUCCUCCUAUUUUCAGUUGGUUUUGGCAGCGCGAGGACUAGGGUAAUGAUUAAUAGGGAUAGUUGGGGGCAUUAAUAUUUAAUUGUCAGAGGUGAAAUUCUUGGAUUUAUGAAAGAUUAACUUCUGCGAAAGCAUCUGCCAAGGAUGUUUUCAUUAAUCAAGAACGAAAGUUAGGGGAUCGAAGACGAUCAGAUACCGUCGUAGUCUUAACCAUAAACGAUGCCGACCAGCGAUUAGGAGACGUUGAAUACAAAACACCACCAUCGGUUGCGGUCGUCCUUGGCGUCUCGGUUUCGGCCGGGGCGCGGGGAUGGCUUAGCCCGGUGGCACCGGUGAAUGACUCCCCUAGCACUUUGGUGAGAA
RNAcentral lists this ribosomal RNA (434 nucleotides) under Acanthamoeba genotype T4. RNAcentral's name for it is "SSU rRNA". The stretch from base 1 to 367 matches the Rfam family "Eukaryotic small subunit ribosomal RNA", at positions 766 to 1116 of the family's 1831-position model. The record is from RNAcentral. Lineage: Eukaryota; Discosea; Longamoebia; Acanthamoebidae.